CUUCUCGGAUGGUUAGCGGCGGACGGGUGAGUAACACGUAGGCAACCUGCCUGUAAGAUCGGGAUAACUACCGGAAACGGUAGCUAAGACCGGAUAAUCGGUUUCUCCGCAUGGAGAGACUGUGAAACACGGAGCAAUCUGUGGCUUACGGAUGGGCCUGCGGCGCAUUAGCUAGUUGGUGAGGUAACGGCUCACCAAGGCGACGAUGCGUAGCCGACCUGAGAGGGUGAACGGCCACACUGGGACUGAGACACGGCCCAGACUCCUACGGGAGGCAGCAGUAGGGAAUCUUCCGCAAUGGACGCAAGUCUGACGGAGCAACGCCGCGUGAGUGAUGAAGGUUUUCGGAUCGUAAAGCUCUGUUGCCAGGGAAGAACGCCAAGGAGAGUAACUGCUCUUUGGGUGACGGUACCUGAGAAGAAAGCCCCGGCUAACUACGUGCCAGCAGCCGCGGUAAUACGUAGGGGGCAAGCGUUGUCCGGAAUUAUUGGGCGUAAAGCGCGCGCAGGCGGUUUUUUAAGUCUGGUGUUUAAUCCCGAGGCUCAACCUCGGUUCGCACCGGAAACUGGGAGACUGGAGUGCAGGAGAGGAAAGUGGAAUUCCACGUGUAGCGGUGAAAUGCGUAGAGAUGUGGAGGAACACCAGUGGCGAAGGCGACUUUCUGGCCUGUAACUGACGCUGAGGCGCGAAAGCGUGGGGAGCAAACAGGAUUAGAUACCCUGGUAGUCCACGCCGUAAACGAUGCAUGCUAGGUGUUAGGGGUUUCGAUACCCUUGGUGCCGAAGUUAACACAGUAAGCAUGCCGCCUGGGGAGUACGCUCGCAAGAGUGAAACUCAAGGAAUUGACGGGGACCCGCACAAGCAGUGAGUAUG
RNAcentral lists this ribosomal RNA (873 nucleotides) under Paenibacillus sp. UKCH26. RNAcentral's name for it is "bacterial SSU rRNA". It matches the Rfam family "Bacterial small subunit ribosomal RNA", at positions 80 to 941 of the family's 1533-position model. The record is from RNAcentral. Lineage: Bacteria; Bacillati; Bacillota; Bacilli; Caryophanales; Paenibacillaceae.